CUUAAUUUCCCUCUCAUUAAGCCAACCUAAAAUUGAGAUGUGCCUACUAAUGAGACAUUGAAGUGAGGUUUACCAAAAGAAAUAUAGUACAUAUGUACACUUCUCCCAAUUAAGGAGGCAGUGACCAGCGCUAUCAUUAUCAACUUGGGAUGCGGCUUCCCUGUUCCUAAUUUUUGUUCCCAUCCCUGUUUCUUGCCAGAUGUCAAUCGCUUAUUGGUUUCGUAUUUUCUAGUGGGCCUCCACACCCUUGCGCCUCCGUCACACGCAUGGCGUUAAGUCUCCGUUUAAUUCUGAGCCAUCAGCUAUGGUACGGAGGUAAGCUAGCUUCAUGGGGUUGCCGGCGGCGGCUGAUUUGGUCCCUUGCAGCCGAGCACAAGCGACGGGCGAGCAGAUCGGCGACCUCGCCGGCGAGCUCGAGCACCACGCAGUGCAUUAGGCGACACAACAUCAAUCUCAAGUGCGGGCCACCAAUUCGAUUGCCUUGCUUCCGAGUUCCAGCUUGAGCUCUUGGAACUAGCAGGCCAGCGGAUGAAUCAUCAGGCUCAACAAGAUUUGUGAAUGACGUCGUUGCAGCAGAUGUAUUGUCCAAGAACAUGGGACUUGCUCCUGCAUCAUGCAGUUGUGAUGCCUUUGAUGGAGGUAUCAUGCUGUUGUUUAGCAUAGCACCAAGAUCUGGCGUCGAUGCCGGUGCUUGAUAAGAGAGAUUAAUUUAUCAAGAUGCUAAUGCAUGUUUAGAUGUGAGUUGUUUGGAUGCUGGAGGAUUUAACGGGAGAACUGAGACAAAUGGCGCCAUAAUUCUUUUUCCCGCCAGCAAUUCUAUCUAUUUGGCGCCUAAAAUAUGUUAGUAAAGUUAAUGGUGUUGUUUGUAAGUAUUAAACGGAGAUGUAAUGCCGUUCGUGAGACAGAGGCGCAAGGGUGUGGAGGCCCACUAGAAAAUACGAUACCAAUAAGCGAUUGA
This is a non-coding RNA of Oryza sativa Japonica Group (Japanese rice), 958 nucleotides long. NCBI's taxonomy places the organism in Eukaryota, Viridiplantae, Streptophyta, Magnoliopsida, Poales, Poaceae. The record is from RefSeq and is a predicted model, not a curated record.